UACGUAGGGGGCAAGCGUUGUCCGGAAUCAUUGGGCGUAAAGCGCGCGUAGGCGGCCCGGUAAGUCCGUUGUGAAAGUCAAAGGCUCAACCUUUGAACGCCGAUGGAUACUGCCGGGCUAGAGUCCGGAAGAGGCGAGUGGAAUUCCUGGUGUAGCGGUGGAAUGCGCAGAUAUCAGGAGGAACACCAAUGGCGAAGGCAGCUCGCUGGGACGGUACUGACGCUGAGGCGCGAAAGCGUGGGGAGCGAACAGG
RNAcentral lists this ribosomal RNA (253 nucleotides) under uncultured bacterium. RNAcentral's name for it is "partial 16S ribosomal RNA". It matches the Rfam family "Bacterial small subunit ribosomal RNA", at positions 524 to 776 of the family's 1533-position model. The record is from RNAcentral.